This 66-nucleotide transfer RNA is filed under the name Heterotermes platycephalus. RNAcentral's name for it is "tRNA-Pro". The record is from RNAcentral. Lineage: Eukaryota; Metazoa; Arthropoda; Insecta; Blattodea; Rhinotermitidae.
CAGGGGGUAUUUUAUUUAAAAUGUUAGUUUUGGGGACUGAUGAAAUGGCGUACGUCUUUCCUCUGA